This 465-nucleotide ribosomal RNA is filed under the name uncultured bacterium. RNAcentral's name for it is "partial 16S ribosomal RNA". It matches the Rfam family "Bacterial small subunit ribosomal RNA", at positions 339 to 795 of the family's 1533-position model. The record is from RNAcentral.
CUACGGGUGGCUGCAGUGGGGAAUAUUGGACAAUGGGGGAAACCCUGAUCCAGCAAUGCCGCGUGUGUGAAGAAGGCCUGCGGGUUGUAAAGCACUUUCGGUUGGGAGGACUGCUUCUAGCACUAAUAUUGUUGGAAGUUGACGUUACCUUCAGAAGAAGCACCGGCUAACUCCGUGCCAGCAGCCGCGGUAAUACGGAGGGUGCAAGCGUUAAUCGGAAUUACUGGGCGUAAAGCGCGCGUAGGCGGCUAGAUCAGUCGGGUGUGAAAGCCCCGGGCUUAACCUGGGAACUGCAUCCGAUACUGUCUAGCUUGAGUACCGGAGAGGAGCGUAGAAUUCCACAUGUAGCGGUGAAAUGCGUAGAUAUGUGGAGGAACACCAAUGGCGAAGGCAGCUCUCUGGCCUGAUACUGACGCUGAGGUGCGAAGGCGUGGGGAGCAAACAGGAUUAGAUACCCCAGUAGUC